This 492-nucleotide ribosomal RNA is filed under the name uncultured bacterium. Its description in RNAcentral is "partial 16S ribosomal RNA". It matches the Rfam family "Bacterial small subunit ribosomal RNA", at positions 29 to 507 of the family's 1533-position model. The record is from RNAcentral.
AGCGAACGCUGGCGGUAGGCCUAACACAUGCAAGUCGAACGGCAGCACAGUAAGAGCUUGCUCUUACGGGUGGCGAGUGGCGGACGGGUGAGGAAUACAUCGGAAUCUACUUUUUCGUGGGGGAUAACGUAGGGAAACUUACGCUAAUACCGCAUACGACCUACGGGUGAAAGCAGGGGAUCUUCGGACCUUGCGCGAUUGAAUGAGCCGAUGUCGGAUUAGCUAGUUGGCGGGGUAAAGGCCCACCAAGGCGACGAUCCGUAGCUGGUCUGAGAGGAUGAUCCGCCCACCCGGGACUUGAGCACGGGCCCGACUCCUAACGGAGGCAGCAGUGGGGAAUAUUGGACAAUGGGCGCAAGCCUGAUCCAGCCAUACCGCGUGGGUGAAGAAGGCCUUCGGGUUGUAAAGCCCUUUUGUUGGGAAAGAAAAGCAGCAGGUUAAUACCCCGCUGUUCUGACGGUACCCAAAGAAUAAGCACCGGCUAACUUCGUG